This 221-nucleotide long non-coding RNA is filed under the name Chinchilla lanigera (long-tailed chinchilla). RNAcentral's name for it is "lncRNA (ENSCLAG00000026103.1)". Lineage: Eukaryota; Metazoa; Chordata; Mammalia; Rodentia; Chinchillidae. The record is from RNAcentral.
AAAGGAGAAAGGGUAGAACUCAUUCUUUAACCAUUCUACCUACAGUUGGGAAGAUGUGUGGGAGGAAUUUAGAGCCACCCUGGAGUCAGCGAGGUCUGAACCCAGUAGAAGGAUACUUUAACUUGGAGAACACUUUGAAACAGAUGCUCUCCAUUUGUGGAGUCGUCGGUGGAAACCUAGAGGAAAUGAUUGCUAUCCACGCUUAACCUGGAGCAAGUUCA